Long non-coding RNA from Anneissia japonica, 967 nucleotides. RefSeq lists it as uncharacterized. Lineage: Eukaryota; Metazoa; Echinodermata; Crinoidea; Comatulida; Comatulidae. The record is from RefSeq and is a predicted model, not a curated record. The transcript has 3 exons.
CCUACCAUACACAUAUCCAUCUUGGGGUUGAGAGCAAAAUAAUGUUAUCUAUCAGCAGACAGUUAACCUGUUACUAGAGAACCAGGAAGUAUCUCGAAUUGCACUCAAUUCUGAUUGGUCACUUCAGUUGAGUACUGUGUUUUUGAAUUCAUGAUGGUGGAGUUAAGUCAGUUUAUACAUUCUUGGAAGGUAGUUUAGCAGUAUUAUCCACUAUGGAGAAUGUCUUUGUCUGAAGCCUUACUGUGUCUGGCAGUUGAUUGAACAAACAGAAAAUUACCUGCUUUCGUCAAAGCAAGUGUAAAACUCCGAAAAAAGUUAGUACAAGCCUACGUGAUUCAAUAUUUCAAGCUUGAUUUGUUCACCUGCAGAGUUCAUACUAUCUGAUCUUUUAGCAAGAAUUUUAAUUUAGCUUGCUACCAUCGGACAUGAAAAAACAUCAUUGUGGCAGCUGCUUCAAUAUACAAAGAAUGCUGGUUAAUGCAUGCUAACACACAAGGUUCUUGAGAUUAUUGUUUUAUAUACAGUAAUAAACUCUAGUGAUGCUUUAAUAUAAUAGGCCUAUAUUACGGACAAAAAUGCUGAUUUAUACAGGACUGUAAAGCGAAGGACUCUAGAAUAAGCUUGAAUUUGAGGUACAGUAUGUGUAGCAGAAGACUUAAACCAGUUUUCAAUUAAAGAAAUUAUGGUUUGUAUAUCUUAAACUCAGUGUUUUUUGUAAGUCUACAGGAGUUGAUUAAAGCCAUUGUUAUUUUACAAAAAGGAUCUGGCACCACUUGUAGACCAGUUGGAACUUGGACCAAUUGAAAACCAUUUGGAACUUGGAUCAAUUGAAGACCAGUUGGAAUUGGGACCAGUUGGAAUUGACACCAGUUGAAGACCAGUUGAAUUGUCCAAAAACACAACACUCAACUGGUUCCAGUUCCAACUGGAAUUUAAAACCAGUUGGAACUGGGACCAGUUGGAACUG